GACGAACGCUGGCGGCGUGCCUAAUACAUGCAAGUCGAACGCUGAAGGAGUAGCUUUCUUCUCUGUAUGAUUUGCGCACGUGUGAGUAACUCGUUUGUAACCUUCCUGGUAGCGUGGGAUAACUAUUGGAAACGAUAGCUAAUACCGCAUAAUUUUUACUAUUUCAUUAUAUUCUGUUUAUAUUUGCAACUUCUCCACUACCAUAUGUCUCUGAGUUGUUUUAGCUAGUUGGUGUGGUUACGGCUCACCAAGGCGACUAUACAGAUCCGACCUGUGAGGGUGAUCGGCCAAAAUGGGAAUGGGACAAGGCCCAGAAUCCUACGGGAGGCAGCAGUAGGGAAACUUCGGAAAUGGACGGAAGUCUGACCGAGAAAAGCCGAGUGAGUGAAGAAGGUUGUCGGAUCGUAAAGCUCUGUUGUAAGAGAAGAAAGAGAGUGAGAGUGGAAAGCUCACACUGUGACGGUAUCUUAACAGAAAGGGACGGCUAACUACGUG
Molecule: ribosomal RNA, 495 nt
Filed under: uncultured bacterium
Lineage: Bacteria
Description: partial 16S ribosomal RNA
Rfam family: Bacterial small subunit ribosomal RNA
Source: RNAcentral